CUUCAUCAUGACCCCAACCCAAAUUAGCUUGUUGAUUUUCUUUUCUGACUGGCGUUCUCUCGGCUCUCGCGGCAAGAGGCGCGGCGGCACCGCCGCUGUUCGCACCUGCGCGACUUCGCCGAGACGGCCACCUCAACGGUUUGGACAUGCGGUAACUUAAUCUGGUGGAUGAUCGACUUAUCCUAUCUCAGCACAAUGCCGAUUAAGGAAAUAGAAAAUUACAACGAGCCAGUGAUAGAUGCUCCCGAUGGAAGGACUUCAAGCAGCGAUGGAGGUGCGCCGGACAUUAAUCGCGCCGCUCGUCCUUUUUCUAACCGUGUCUCCUGAUGAGGUAAAUUCGGAUGUUCUUCCUUAUGACUUGACUGAUAGGAAGAGAAUGUUAGGAUACGUUGGCCAAAAGCUACAUCAUGGGAGAAGGCAAAUGUAUUUGAUUAGAAAGAUCCCACAACCUGGGUUUUAAGGACUUGAUCACUGCUGUAUAUGAAGUUUUUUAGAUUUGCCACAUGAAUGUACUUCCGAUUGUUACAUUUUGAAUAAUUUUUGCUAUCAUAUAAUUACACAAAAAUUAUUGGUGACCGUUUUGAUGCCAUAAAGGACAGGUAAAUCAUAAUGGAUUGAAUACGAACAACCCAACCCUAGUUCUCGGA
Long non-coding RNA from Phragmites australis (common reed), 647 nucleotides. RefSeq lists it as uncharacterized. The transcript has 3 exons. Lineage: Eukaryota; Viridiplantae; Streptophyta; Magnoliopsida; Poales; Poaceae. The record is from RefSeq and is a predicted model, not a curated record.